AUUGAACGCUGGCGGCAGGCUUAACACAUGCAAGUCGAGCGGGGUGAUGGUGCUUGCACUAUCACUUAGCGGCGGACGGGUGAGUAAUGCUUAGGAAUCUGCCUAUUAGUGGGGGACAACAUCUCGAAAGGGAUGCUAAUACCGCAUACGUCCUACGGGAGAAAGCAGGGGAUCACUUGUGACCUUGCGCUAAUAGAUGAGCCUAAGUCGGAUUAGCUAGUUGGUGGGGUAAAGGCCUACCAAGGCGACGAUCUGAAGCGGGUCUGAGAGGAUGAUCCGCCACACUGGGACUGAGACACGGCCCAGACUCCUACGGGAAGCAGCAGUGGGGAAUAUUGGACAAUGGGGGGAACCCUGAUCCAGCCAUGCCGCGUGUGUGAAGAAGGCCUUAUGGUUGUAAAGCACUUUAAGCGAGGAGGAGGCUCUUUUGGUUAAUACCCAAGAUGAGUGGACGUUACUCGCAGAAUAAGCACCGGCUAACUCUGUGCCAGCCGCCGCAGUAA
Molecule: ribosomal RNA, 503 nt
Filed under: uncultured bacterium
Lineage: Bacteria
Description: partial 16S ribosomal RNA
Rfam family: Bacterial small subunit ribosomal RNA
Source: RNAcentral